AAGUCGUAACAAGGUUUCCGUAGGUGAACCUGCGGAAGGAUCAUUACUGAUGAACGGGGACGUUGUUGUGCUGUGCUGUGUUGUGUGGUUCGCCAUGCAGCAGCAGCAGCGCGGCGGCGUGCUCCUUCAGCUCCACUAGAGGCCGGGUCCUUUGCUUGGGUCCGGACAGAAGGCUGAUGCAUAGCUUCUAAGAUGCUUGCGCCGCACACAGUCCUUGCCUCGCGAAACAAAAGUGACGGCGGAAGCGCCUUUACAAACAACUAUCUACUUCUCUCCUUCUAACGCAACCAAAAAGUCAUCUCUUGCAGACGACGAAUCAACCAAAUCAAAACUUUUGACAACGGAUCUCUUGGCUCUC
This 358-nucleotide unclassified non-coding RNA is filed under the name fungal sp. Its description in RNAcentral is "partial internal transcribed spacer region". The stretch from base 1 to 46 matches the Rfam family "Eukaryotic small subunit ribosomal RNA", at positions 1786 to 1831 of the family's 1831-position model. The record is from RNAcentral. Lineage: Eukaryota; Fungi.